AGGGCACCACCAGGAGUGGAGCCUGCGGCUUAAUUUGACUCAACACGGGGAAACUUACCCGGCCUGGACACUGGAAGGAUUGACAGAUUGAGAGCUCUUUCUUGAUUCAGUGGGUGGUGGUGCAUGGCCGUUCUUAGUUGGUGGAGCGAUUUGUCUGGUUAAUUCCGAUAACGAACGAGACUCUAGCCUAUUAAAUAGGCUCUCGGCUUUUAAACGCCGGGAGGACUUCUUAGAGGGACAGGUGGCGGUUCAGCCGCACGAAAGAGAGCAAUAACAGGUCUGUGAUGCCCUUUGUUGUCCGGGGCCGCACGCGCGCUACACUGAAGAGAUCAGCGUGCUUUACGUUCCUGCUCCGACCGGAGUGGGGAACCCAGUGAACCUUCUUCGUGAUUGGGAUAGAAGAUUGUAAUUAUUCUCCUUGAACGAGGAAUUCCCAGUAAAUGCGAGUCAUAAGCUCGCGUUGAUUACGUCCCUGCCCUUUGUACACACCGCCCGUCGCUACUACCGAUUGAACGAUUU
This 519-nucleotide ribosomal RNA is filed under the name uncultured eukaryote. Its description in RNAcentral is "SSU rRNA". It matches the Rfam family "Eukaryotic small subunit ribosomal RNA", at positions 1161 to 1699 of the family's 1831-position model. The record is from RNAcentral.